RNAcentral lists this ribosomal RNA (200 nucleotides) under uncultured bacterium. RNAcentral's name for it is "partial 16S ribosomal RNA". It matches the Rfam family "Bacterial small subunit ribosomal RNA", at positions 328 to 539 of the family's 1533-position model. The record is from RNAcentral.
ACGCUCGACACCUACGGAGGCAGCAGUGGGGAAUAUUGGGCAAUGGGCGCAAGCCUGACCCAGCAACGCCGCGUGAAGGAAGAAGGCCCUCGGGUUGUAAACUUCUUUUAACAGGGACGAAGCAAGUGACGGUACCUGUUGAAUAAGCCACGGCUAACUACGUGCCUGCAGCCGCGGUAAUCUGAGCGGGCUGGCAAGGC